GGCCUCCUACAGAAACGGUGGUCCGGUUCCGCGGGCUUCAAACCCGUGAUCGUGCAAGCGAUGAGAGUUCGAUUCUCUUAGGAGGCCGCCA
Molecule: transfer RNA, 91 nt
Filed under: Candidatus Thorarchaeota archaeon
Lineage: Archaea; Promethearchaeati; Candidatus Thorarchaeota
Description: tRNA-Sec
Rfam family: Selenocysteine transfer RNA
Source: RNAcentral